Molecule: ribosomal RNA, 468 nt
Filed under: uncultured bacterium
Lineage: Bacteria
Description: partial 16S ribosomal RNA
Rfam family: Bacterial small subunit ribosomal RNA
Source: RNAcentral
GACGAACGCUGGCGGCGUGCUUAACACAUGCAAGUCGAACGGAAAGGCCCUGCUUUUGUGGGGUGCUCGAGUGGCGAACGGGUGAGUAACACGUGAGUAACCUGCCCUUGACUUUGGGAUAACUUCAGGAAACUGGGGCUAAUACCGGAUAGGAGCUCCUGCUGCAUGGUGGGGGUUGGAAAGUUUCGGCGGUUGGGGAUGGACUCGCGGCUUAUCAGCUUGUUGGUGGGGUAGUGGCUUACCAAGGCUUUGACGGGUAGCCGGCCUGAGAGGGUGACCGGCCACAUUGGGACUGAGCUACGGCACAGACUCCUACGGGAGGCAGCAGUGGAGAAUAUUGCACAAUGGGCGGAAGCCUGAUGCAGCAACGCCGCGUGCGGGAUGACGGCCUUCGGGUUGUAAACCGCUUUCGCCUGUGACGAAGCGUGAGUGACGGUAAUGGGUAAAGAAGCACCGGCUAACUACGUG